RNAcentral lists this transfer RNA (93 nucleotides) under Ampelomyces quisqualis. It matches the Rfam family "tRNA". Rfam says of the family: Transfer RNA (tRNA) molecules are approximately 80 nucleotides in length. Their secondary structure includes four short double-helical elements and three loops (D, anti-codon, and T loops). The record is from Rfam by way of RNAcentral. Lineage: Eukaryota; Fungi; Ascomycota; Dothideomycetes; Pleosporales; Phaeosphaeriaceae.
GGUCGCUUAGCUCAGUUGGUUAGAGCGUGGUGCUAAUAGCUCGAUGCGAGCUGGGAUACGCCAAGGUCGCGAGUUCGACCCUCGUAGUGACCA